This 460-nucleotide ribosomal RNA is filed under the name uncultured bacterium. RNAcentral's name for it is "partial 16S ribosomal RNA". It matches the Rfam family "Bacterial small subunit ribosomal RNA", at positions 338 to 795 of the family's 1533-position model. The record is from RNAcentral.
CCUACGGGUGGCAGCAGUGAGGAAUAUUGGUCAAUGGCCGCAAGCCUGAACCAGCCAAGUCGCGUGAAGGAUGACUGCGCUACGGGUUGUAAACUUCUUUUGUCAAGGGAUAAAGUCAGGCCCGUGUGCCUGUUUGUAUGUACUUUAUGAAUAAGGAUCGGCUAACUCCGUGCCAGCAGCCGCGGUAAUACGGAGGAUCCGAGCGUUAUCCGGAUUUAUUGGGUUUAAAGGGUGCGUAGAUGGGUUGUUAAGUCAGUGGUGAAAGUUUGCGGCUCAACCGCAAAAGUGCCAUUGAUACUGGCAGCCUUGAGAACAGUUGAGGUAGGCGGAAUGCGUGGUGUAGCGGUGAAAUGCUUAGAUAUCACGCAGAACUCCGAUUGCGAAGGCAGCCUACUAAACUCCAUCUGACACUGAGGCUCGAAAGUGUGGGUAUCAAACAGGAUUAGAUACCCGAGUAGUC